AUGACAUCACCGAGCGCGGGGCCCAUGCGCCGCCGGCCGGCCCGGCCCCGCCGCCCCCGCCCGUCGCCUCCCCGUGCGUGCGUGGGGCGUGCCGGGGGCAGGGGCUGCCGCGCCCGCCGCCGCCGCCGCCGCCGCUCGCCCGCCGGAGCGCCCGGGGCCCCGCGCACCUCCCGCCCCCCUUGCCUCCGCGGCGGCGGCAGCAGGAGCAGCAGCAGCGGGGCAGAGGAUGGCGGAGAGCGAGGCCGAGACCCCCAGCACGCCGGGGGAGUUUGAGAGCAAGUACUUCGAGUACAAUGGGGUGCGGCUGCCGCCCUUCUGCAGGGGGAAGAUGGAGGAGAUCGCCAAUUUCCCGGUGAGGGACAGCGACGUCUGGAUCGUCACCUACCCCAAGUCAGGCACAGGCUUGCUACAGGAAGUGGUAUAUCUAGUGAGUCAGGGAGCUGAUCCAGAUGAGAUUGGACUAAUGAAUAUAGAUGAACAACUUCCAGUCCUAGAGUACCCUCAGCCUGGUCUGGACAUCAUCAAGGAACUGACAUCUCCUCGCCUCAUAAAAAGCCACCUACCAUAUCGGUUUUUGCCUUCAGACCUCCAUAAUGGCAAUUCUAAGGUAAUAUACAUGGCUCGCAACCCCAAAGACCUGGUGGUGUCUUAUUACCAGUUUCAUCGCUCCCUAAGGACCAUGAGCUACAGAGGAACGUUUCAGGAGUUCUGCAGAAGGUUUAUGAAUGACAAGUUAGGAUAUGGUUCGUGGUUUGAACACGUCCAAGAAUUCUGGGAACAUCAUAUGGAUGCCAACGUACUUUUCCUCAAGUAUGAAGAUAUGCACAAGGACCUAGCAACAAUGGUUGAGCAACUGGUGAGGUUCUUAGGAGUUUCUUACGACAAAGCACAGUUGGAAUCCAUGGUGGAACACUGCCAUCAACUCAUUGAUCAGUGCUGUAACGCAGAAGCACUUCCCGUUGGCAGGGCACAUUUACUCUGAAGAUAAUCCUGAGCUGCUAUGAAAGCAGAACAAUGAUUAGAUAUGUUACUUAUAUUUGACUCAUAUCACAUCAUAAUUUACACAGUUGCAUGAUUCAAAUCAUAAACCAGGCCGAGUUGGGCUAUGGAAGGACAUCUUCACUGUUUCAAUGAAUGAGAAAUUUGAUUUAGUUUAUAAACAGAAGAUGGGAAAAUGUGACCUCACAUUUGAUUUUUAUUUAUAAAAAAUGCAUGCAUAUGAUAUCCAAAUAUAGCUAGAAGUGCUUUAUGCAUUCAUUUAUUACUUGCUGGACAGACUACUGUAGCUAUUAUGUGUAACAAGAUUUAAAGAAAGGAGAACAAUCUAAGUAAACCAUAGCAAAUGCAAUUAUCUUUGAUCCUACACAGCUGUUUAUCUUUUAGUAUUUUAAUCCUUUGUCCACAUGGAAAAACUUCCUAGACAAUACUAGAAUACUCAGCUGUUAUGGAAUGUAUUAUAUGCGUAUAAGGUAUGUAUCAUAUAUGCAACUAGAAUGUACACCUUUUCAGCCCCACAUUGAUUAUUUAAUGUGUUUUAUAGAAGCUUUUCACUAAAACCUAAAUAAAUGUCCAUAAACCAAAUAAAAAUUAUUUCAGAGGGAAACAAGUAACAGGCCAAAACUGUAUGCUAGAAUGAUCUCAGGGGUUAAUUGUCACAUUUAUUUUUAUAGCUGGUAUAUCAAGUACAAAUAAAUCCCAUUCCAAAAGAGUAACUGGUCAAAGCGGGGUUCCCAUUAAGUUCUGCACUCUUUUAUCUGUAUGACUUACGAGUGGGUUCUGUGUAUUGCCAUACUGUGCAAGUCAGGCCCUGUUAUGAAAUACAGCUGUGAUUGUCACUGCAGCCCAAAACUCACCCAUGCUUUCAUGGAUAACAGUAUGCAGCUGUUUUUGUGGUGGGUCAGCAAAUAGGAGCCUCUCAAGCUCCCAAGGCUAGUCCAUGCCUUUAAAAUGCAACUUAAAUGCAAGGCAUCUAGUGCAGAUGUCUCUCUUGACAAAUCAGCGUCUCUGACACGUAUCAGUUUCCUGUGUAGAUAUGAACUUCACCCAAUGGAUACAGUAACAGAAGGCAAGGUGCUGGCUAUCCUCUAGUUCUACCAAAAUCCUGAAAGUUAAGGGCACUCAGCAUGGUUCACUGUUUGUACUUUUGGAUCCCAUCACACCUAAGUGGAAGAUGGAUGUAUGUUCCAGUGCAAGUCAGCAGAGGAAACAGCAGCACUGAAGGAAAGAGUUUAAAAAUAUGCCACCAGAUGGGAGUAUUGCACAAAUAUUCAUGCAGAAUGCAGUCUCAAGAAUUAUUAGCCAUGAACAGUCUGGAUUAUUAUCAAGAUUCAAGUUUAUUUCUGUACCUUUAUUUUCUAUAACAGUUGCACAAACAGCCUGAAACAGGCUACUAUCACAACAAAAUUCUCCAGAAUUAUUUUAUCAUUGUUCCUUUACUUAAUGACAUCUAUGUUUUUUAGGUUCUCAGCUGCAGGAGGCCCAUUUUUGCUAGUCUGCUAUUCUGUCGCACUAAAAGCCGUGAGGAAGGACUAGCAUAUAUUUAGUGUUUUAGUUAUGUUGGGAAACAAACUGUCAGUUCAGCAACUGACAAGUGGUGUAGCAUGAUGUGGCUUGACAGCACUUUUCCUUGUAUAUUUGUGAGUGAAAAUGCUUUCAGUGAAAUUUUAUUUCUAUUUUUAUAUUUUUAGUACUGUAUGAAUAUUAAGCACUACACAUUAUACUUCUGUGCUUGCUUGCUUAUUGAAUAAAAGAUGUGUUCCAUG
Molecule: RNA transcript, 2762 nt
Organism: Dromaius novaehollandiae (emu)
Lineage: Eukaryota; Metazoa; Chordata; Aves; Casuariiformes; Dromaiidae
Gene: SULT4A1
Gene name: sulfotransferase family 4A member 1
Exons: 8
Source: RefSeq, a predicted model, not a curated record